Molecule: transfer RNA, 82 nt
Filed under: Streptomyces sp. SID5910
Lineage: Bacteria; Bacillati; Actinomycetota; Actinomycetes; Kitasatosporales; Streptomycetaceae
Description: tRNA-OTHER
Source: RNAcentral
GGUCUCUUCGGCUAACGGUAAGCCGCCCGUGUAGGCGCGUAAGCGCUGAGGGGUAACCCCGGUUCGACUCCGGGCGGGACCA